GCCCCACCCGUCUAUUUCUAUCUGACCAAAACAUGACCCACUUUUCGGAUUCCCUAACCCACCAGACCCAAUUACACACCCGACCCAUUCAUUUUCCUUGAGCAGUAGAAAGAUAAAGAUCGUCCCAACAAAUAACCCCAACCCCAAAUUUACCCCUGCCACUUGCCACUGCACCUCCCAUCCGUCGGCGACACCCACCGCAACCACAGUCGUCCUACCAGAGCACCACCGUGAGGCAUCGCCUUCCACGCCUCUCUUCGGUUUUCCUGUUUCCAUCUUCUCUCCCGUACCUCUCGCACACCACAGCAGGAAACAACAUCGAACUCCCAACCACCGCACCGUCGUUCGACUACCGCCUUCCACUUUCUCUUUUGCAAUUCAGUUAUGAUUCCUCAAGUUUGAUUCUGUGUCUCAGGGUAAUCAGGUUCGUCAUUCAUUCUUCAUUCUUUCAAGACUUGUAUUUUGGGCUUCAAGAUUGAUCCUGGGUGUAUGAUUCAUUUUGUGCAGAGUCGCAGGCAGUUCAAAUAGGCAUCAUUACCCUUUGAUUCAAGACUUUUAUGUGCAUUAGAUUAAUAUUUUGCUACUUUUUAUUGAUUGAUUAGGAUUAUUGUGACAUUGUCUUUGCACAUUGAUUGUCUUUAUGAACUACAGUGAGUUGCCAAAAUUGUUCAGUUUUGUUUUCUGAAAGUUUUGUACAGUGGGGUGUCGAUAUGCAAAUUUAUUGCUUGGAAAAUUUUGUACACGCUUGAGUUUAAUGUUUAAAUGAUGGAACGAAGUGGCG
Molecule: long non-coding RNA, 781 nt
Filed under: Lactuca sativa (garden lettuce)
Lineage: Eukaryota; Viridiplantae; Streptophyta; Magnoliopsida; Asterales; Asteraceae
Description: long non-coding RNA (LSAT_LNC004460)
Source: RNAcentral